AACAAGGCGUACCUGCGGACCUGCGGAAGGAUCAUCAUUGAAACCCAUUUGCCAAGGGUUUGUUUCCUAGGGGGGAGGAGUGCAGUGCAGAAAAACUCUGCAUCUCCGAGCCUUGACCGAGACAGGCCUCUUGGACAAACAACCAAUCUUCAUGACUAGGAAAAAAAUUGACAGUGAUUUGGUUUGGCAACAAAAGUUCUUGUCUGACAAGCAGCUUUGAUUUGGAGCAUGAUAACUAAU
RNAcentral lists this unclassified non-coding RNA (240 nucleotides) under soil metagenome. RNAcentral's name for it is "partial contains 5.8S ribosomal RNA, internal transcribed spacer 2, and large subunit ribosomal RNA". The record is from RNAcentral.